GGGACACGUGGUAUCCUGUCUGAAUAUGGGGGGACCAUCCUCCAAGGCUAAAUACUCCUGACUGACCGAUAGUGAACCAGUACCGUGAGGGAAAGGCGAAAAGAACCCCGGCGAGGGGAGUGAAAAAGAACCUGAAACCGUGUACGUACAAGCAGUGGGAGCACGCUUAGGCGUGUGACUGCGUACCUUUUGUAUAAUGGGUCAGCGACUUAUAUUCUGUAGCAAGGUUAACCGAAUAGGGGAGCCGAAGGGAAACCGAGUCUUAACUGGGCGUUAAGUUGCAGGGUAUAGACCCGAAACCCGGUGAUCUAGCCAUGGGCAGGUUGAAGGUUGGGUAACACUAACUGGAGGACCGAACCGACUAAUGUUGAAAAAUUAGCGGAUGACUUGUGGCUGGGGGUGAAAGGCCAAUCAAACCGGGAGAUAGCUGGUUCUCCCCGAAAGCUAUUUAGGUAGCGCCUCGUGAAUUCAUCUCCGGGGGUAGAGCACUGUUUCGGCAAGGGGGUCAUCCCGACUUACCAACCCGAUGCAAACUGCGAAUACCGGAGAAUGUUAUCACGGGAGACACACGGCGGGUGCUAACGUCCGUCGUGAAGAGGGAAACAACCCAGACCGCCAGCUAAGGUCCCAAAGUCAUGGUUAAGUGGGAAACGAUGUGGGAAGGCCCAGACAGCCAGGAUGUUGGCUUAGAAGCAGCCAUCAUUUAAAGAAAGCGUAAUAGCUCACUGGUC
This 731-nucleotide ribosomal RNA is filed under the name Escherichia coli. RNAcentral's name for it is "partial 23S ribosomal RNA". It matches the Rfam family "Bacterial large subunit ribosomal RNA", at positions 419 to 1150 of the family's 2925-position model. Lineage: Bacteria; Pseudomonadati; Pseudomonadota; Gammaproteobacteria; Enterobacterales; Enterobacteriaceae. The record is from RNAcentral.